The sequence is a regulatory RNA element, 120 nucleotides long. It matches the Rfam family "Ribosomal protein L20 leader". Rfam says of the family: This family is a putative r-protein leader autoregulatory structure found in B. subtilis and other low-GC Gram-positive bacteria. The record is from Rfam.
UAGAGCAAGAAGAAGCGCCCGCUUCUCACCUGUACGACAUUGGUUGCCAGGUUAGAAACCGUCAGUUUGUUAAAAUGCUGAUUAAGUGUGGGUGCCGUGCGUCCACACUUUUUUCACGUU